Molecule: long non-coding RNA, 15404 nt
Filed under: Eucalyptus grandis
Lineage: Eukaryota; Viridiplantae; Streptophyta; Magnoliopsida; Myrtales; Myrtaceae
Description: long non-coding RNA (EGRA_LNC006560)
Source: RNAcentral
GACGCAACGGCGAGGCUGUGCCUUCGUGCCGCUGGAGAGUUGGAGAAGAGGAAACAGGAUAACCAGAAAAAGAUCCAAGGCAAGAAGGUCGAAAUAGAGAGAUACCUCGACGCAUUAAAAAAGUACCGGACCACGAGCGAGGACGACGGUGUGGGAUAUUACGAUGCUUUCAAAUUGCAAAAGAAGGAGGAAGACUUCAAGGCCAACGUAAAGAGACUUGAACUGGCAGCUAUUUGGGACGAGAUUGUUGAAAUGCUAAGACUCAGGCAGCUCCCCGAUGAAUUUGAGGUAGAUAAAGAAUGGGUGGAUCUCGGCACGCGGUUUCGCGGACUUGUGGAGCCACUAGACAUAGCCAACUUCUAUCGACACUCCAGGACGGAGGAUGCAGGUCAUUACAUGAAGGAAGGAAACAGGCCAAGUCGGUACAAAUUUCCUCAAAGAUGGCGAGAACACAAGUACCAGUUGCCACCGAUGCAGCAGUCGCAGCAGUCGCUCAAACAUUUUUAUGGUGAAACCAGUUUCUGGGCCAAGGUGGAGGAGCUCAAAACUAAACCAUGGGAAGCAAUAAAGGACGAGGUUUUGGUUCUGGGGAACCGCCUUACAGAAUGGCACAACAACAAGGAGGUGGAGGAUGAUGUGUUCUUACAAAAGAGCACGCUCGUUGAGUGGUGGCAAAAACUCUGUGAAGACCAUCUUGAGUUGCGCGGCGUUCUUCCGACACCACCGGUCAAGUGAGACUUGUAUUGCUAUUUCUCAAAGUAGCGAGAUACCUUCAGUAUUCGUACAAUAUAUAUGUUUGAUAUGCCUAUUCAUAGGCUUUCUUCGCGGACAUAGUCUUAUCAAGUGUCCUCCAUUUAAUCCACGCUCUUUGACUGUUAUCCAGGUCACUUCAUAGAGAUUAUCUCUUGGAUUCUCCUGCGCACAAUGACGUGGGCUCCUUCCUAUCUCUAUUUCCACCUGCUUCUUCAGACAAAAUAUUUGUAAAGAUUAUUCCAGAUAACUCUUUUAAAAUUGAUCAUAUUAUUAACAGACCAUAAGCUGAAGUCCUGCAACAGAAAUACAUGCCAAGCUGAAAAUUCCGCUUGCUGCUGAAAUGUUGUUUGAGAAGCCAGUCCCAGCAACUCGCUGGCAUCAUGCAAACUGCAAAGACGUUCAUACCCCUUUUCAGCUGAUUGUCUCUGUAAAAGAAAUGUCGUCACUGAAACAAAUUACCCGUCAAAAAACAAAAGGACACCCUCUGAAGUCUUCUUCACGUUCCCGAAGAUCCUGAGCACACGAAAGGAGAAAAAGAUGGAAGAAACCAUAGAAUUGCUCCAGUGAAGAGCUGAUACAAAUAAUGUACAUUAUUGAGCCAUGUAGAAUUCCUUGUUUCCUAUUAGACUCUGCUAUAUAGAGAAAAAGACUAAAACUGAUUGCAGAACCAGCCGAUAGCAUUGCUGUAAAAUCAAAUGGCAUGCCUUCUCUAAUAGGUUGUCCAACAGUACCUCAAUGCAAACUAACCAGAGUUUUGCAUCCAAAAGACAUCAGCUUCCUAUGUAUUAGUGCCUAUCAGCCAAGUCCACCGCACAAAAUGAAGACAAAAACAUUUUUGAAUUGCCAAGGAGAGGCAGAAAAAAAUAGGCAAAACAUUGCUGUACAAGAUAAGAUGGGGGAACAAAGGCACAGCAAAGACCUGAGGGAAUCCUUAGCGCAAAAAAAAAAGGGUUUGCCUAUUGGAAGAACACAAAAAUGCCACAUCUCCAUGUGUCCCAAUGCAUAAGCACGCGCAAGGGAGUGAGGAUGAUGAAAGAGAGGAAGAGAGUCGAGAAUCAGUUACCAAAGACGUACCACCUGAACUUCCAGCUUAAAAGACAGUGCAUGGUCAAGAACCAUUCUCUCCGGAAUGAAACCAAAAAAAGGAAAAACAGAAAACACCUCUUGGUAUGACAUUAGAUACAUCCAGCCGUACUGAAUGAAAGUACAUUUCCCAUAUGCUUACCCGAACUUCAACGACUACCAAACAUGUGCAUGGUCAUGUGCUUCAAAACUAGAGUAAUUCCUAAAGUGGAGGCGAUUCUUGCAUCACUCUAUCAACCUAUUAAGUAACUGCAACAUUUAAGUAAGAUCGACUACAUUGUCAAACAAGGAACCAAACCAAUAGCUUCAAAGCACUAGCUAGAUACCCAAAUCCUAUUAUUUAAAAUACAGAGAUCGAAUUAUGGGGAAACACCAUCCAAAAAAGUAAAUACGAUUAGAAGUGUAUAAAGUUCAAACAGACGAAGGUUCACAAAUGGAUUUCGAUAAUUUUUCUUUCGACUUUUUCGGGGAUCGACCCCUCAACCCUAAGUUACAAUGUCACAUGUCCAAACCCCCAACCCACCCAUGACCACUAGGCCAACUGCCAUAAUUGUAUCUUCACAUAGUAAUGAGAGAUGUACAGGAUUCUUCACUUGAAGAACCUAUUUUACAUACUUCCAGAUGAAAUACUUGUACUAUAAAGAGAAACAUGAAUCGACUCCUACAAUUGUUCCACGACAUCUUGAAUCUUUCAUCGGAUGUGAUUUUGCCUCCAAGAAUAAUCUGUUCCCACUUCGGAAUGUGCAUACUCUUUAAAAAGAUCUUAAGGGUUGAUAGUAAGGAACAUAAGUUUAUGUACUAUUCACUAUUCACAUGAUAUGGAUAGCCAGACAAUAUUGUUCAUACCAAAUUAAUAGAUACACAUCAGCCAUGCUACGUCUGGCCUAUCCAAAGUACGUAUGUAAGGAAUAAUGACGCAAAUUAAAGAAGAAACUAAAUUAAAGACAGCCUCUGACUCUCAAAUCACAAAUACAAGACUUCAUUGGGCUUCUGAAUAUGUACUACUUACCUUCUAGUAAACUAUAUAUUCUUGAGUCUUGACCACCAGGGCCUGUUGGCAGAGCGAAUAGAUCGGUAAGUCCUAGGAUGAAUUCUGGGGCGCGUGUGCAUACAUGAACAUGGUAAAUGGGGAGGGCUAUCUUGUUUUAAACAUGCUGUAAGUUCAUGAUUGGCCAGACCCUUAAUGGACAACAGCAGCAGUAGCAACAAUACCCAAGCCUUGUCUCACCUCGUUAUACAAUGACACUCUGUUUUCUGUCCAUUAAUGCAAAGGAAGUGGGAGUUAGUUACAUGCAACUCUGUCCAGCCAGCAUAUUCAAUGAUUACUGGCACUCUGAAUGUGAUAUCAGCAAUAAAAUGGCAAGAGGAUCUGACACCAAAUGUCUCACCUUGAGAAGGCAAUGCAACUAACUAUAAUUAAGAGAGGAAAGAGUUACAUGCUACCAUCACGAACCACUACGAGAAUUCCAUCUCAAAAGCGGCAUUCCUAAAUCACAUGCAACCUACUUGAAAUACACAUUAUAGAAGGGAUGCACUGUUUACCCGAAGAAUCCAGUUAAGCCAAAACUACUCCAGCUAGACAUCCUAUGUUACAGACAAUCAACCUACAGAUACUUGAAGAGCGUUCAAUGACAGCACAGAUUCACGAGAGAGAGUGGGCUUAGCACAAACGCACAGAUCACUCAAAUCUUUACACCCCUGACCAGAAGGCAAACCACGAGCAGCAGCUUGCAACAGGAGACGCGACAUUCUUGAACACGGAGCGAUUACACCACAGAUUCACGAGAGAGACUGGGUUUAGUACAAACCUGCUCAACACUUAACUAGUUGGAACUCAAUUUGGAUUGUUCGAGACGACGACUUAGGAGUGCAUGACAAACCAAAAUUUCUGUUCCAGAAACAAUUUUUCUAUUUCAGACUUAGGGGGCGCAUGAUAACCAAAAUUUAUGUUCCAUAAAUAAUUUUUCUAUUCCAGAAAUAAUUUUUCUAUUCCAGACCUGUUUCUAGAAUAAAAACCUGUUUGAUAAACCUACUCAAUUUUUCUAUUUCUGGAAUAGAUUUCUAUUCCAGAAAUUGAUUUGGAAGAGAAAUCAGAAAUAGAAAUUUUCUACUUCUGAUUUCUGGAAGAGAAAUCAGAAAUAAUUUCUCCCACUAAACCCUAAUUUCGGUGAGUCCUCCCUCAUCUCCUCUACCUCUGCUUCCUCCUCCUCAUCCGCCUCUCCUCAUUUUAUUAAAAAUAAAAAUAAAUUUAUUAAAAAUUUAUUAAAAAUAAGUAAAUUAUUUUUAUUUAUCAUUUUAUUUUUAUUUUAUUAAAAAUAAAUUUAUUAAAUAUAAUUUAUUUAUGAUAAAUAAAAAGAAAUUAAUUUUCUUUGCCUUGAGUGUUUUGCCAAAUAAAUUUAUUUUUAUUCAUUUUAAAAUAAAUUUAUUCGUAAAAUAAAAUAAAAUAGAAUAAAUAAAAUAAAUUUAUUUUUAAGGAUAUUUUUAUUUUAAAAUAAAAUGAUAUUUUUAUUUUAUGAUUUAUUUUAUUAUGUAUUUUUUUGUUACUAAAUCAUUUUUAUUUUUAUUUUUUAUAUUAAAGGUCGUCAGUCAUCGCCGUCGCCGUUCGAAAGGAAGAAAUUUUGUGUCAUUAUCAAACGAAUUUCUAUUUUUAGAGUAGAAAUUUUGUGUCGUUAUCAAACGGUUAUUUUUGCUUAGAAACUCUUAUAGAAAUAGAAAUAAAAAAAUCUAUUUCUGUUCCAGAAACUAUUUCCGGAACAGAAUAGUUGUCAUGCCCGCCCUUAGUUUCCGGAAUAGAAAUCCGUUUGAUAAAAUUAAUUCAUUUUUCUAUUUCUGAAAUAGAUUUUUGUUCAAGAAAUAUGUUUGGAAUAAAAAUUAGAAGUAAAAUUUUUAUACUUUUCUAUUUUUGGAACAAAAAUGAGAAAUAAAAAUUCUUCUCAUUGUUCGUCCUUGCUACCAACCGGUCAUCCAUCCGUCGCCGCCGUUCGCCGGUUGCUAGUCACCUCUGUCGGUUGUUGCCCAUUGCCUGCCGCCAUCUGCCGGACGCCGCCCGCCACUUGUCUGCCCCCUGCUGCUGUCCGAAAGGGAGAGAUUUUGUGCCAUUAUCAAACGAAUUUCUAUUUUUAGAGUAUAAAUUUUGUAUAUUUAUCAAAUGGGUAUUUUUGUUUAGAAACUCAUCUAGAAAUAGAAAUAAAAAAAUCUAUUUCUUUUCCAGAAAUCAAUUUUUGGCUAGAAUGGUUUUGGGCCAUGUGAGUGAGCUGGACUGUUUUGUUAGGGCCUUGGAUCAGCCAUUUCGGAUCUUGAAGAGGAACACGUUCGUGGGCCUCCAAUUGGUUACUAGAUGGCCCGAAUCAGGGCCUCCACUUUGCACAAAUUGAGAUUAUCAGGAGUGAGUGACUGCAGGUUUUGUAAAGAUUCUAUUUGGAACUUAUCUAUUAAAACAUUUUCCUCAUUUUUUAGAAUUUGGAAACUUUUUUGUAUAACUUGAAAUCUAAAAACCUACUUUGUCAAAGGUUCCAAAGUCGGUUUUCACUUAUAUUAUUAAUUGAACAAUUAUAGUGAAUUAUUAUUUUUAAUGACCAUAACUUAUUACUACAAUUAACUGACCAUAAUUUAUAUUUAGAUAUAUGAAAAAAAAAAUUAUAUAUUAACAUAGUAAAAGUCUCAAUUAUAAAAUAGAAGUUCGAAUUAAUGGUUUCGGAUUGUAUUACUCAUAAUCAAAUGCCAUGGAAUACAGUAGAAUCGUGCAUAGAUAUAGACUAAGAAAAACAUGAAAACUUAGAGGAUCCUUAUCCGGUUUUCAAGUUCCAGAUUCCAUCUUGAAACCAUGCUCACCUGUGUUAAUUACUUUCGAUUGGAGCACCAUGACAAGCGGGUUGCCAUUGAAAUUGGAGCAUAAAUUCGUCGUCGUAAGUGUGACGUUGUCGAUGCCAGUCUCCGUCCGUUUGAUUAACUAUCAAUGAGGAAUCCCUUUUGUUCUCCAUUUUUUACUUUUUCGAAUAUGAUUCUCUGGAAUCGCUUCACAUGCUCAUCAAAAGGCCCGAACCUGUGCAAAAACACGCGUUCAUGUCCAACCUGAGAUGUUUCCUGGCAGAUAUCUUGUUGAACCGGCAAUCGUUGCUCUUGGUCAUCCGGUUGUCAUGAGACUUUGCUAAUCUCGUUGACCCGGCAAUUUUUCGUUCGCAUUGAAGAGUACACGUUUGGGGGACCAGGUUCUGUUGAUUGGGUUACGGAUUACAUUUUAGGAAAUAGACUUCUGCAUUUUCUUUUCGUUUAUUUAUCUUUAUUUAAUGAAAAGUUGAAACACGACUUCCCAUCAAAAUAAAAAAAGUUUUUAGAAGGGUAUGAGUACUUGCAAUAUAGAAUCACUAACAAAAGAAACUUCAGCAUUUCAAAUUAUAAAAGAAAGGCAUCUUCCUUUUUUCUCUCGCAUCUGCGAGCUCUCUCUCUACCCCAUGGUAGCGCACUCCCAUCUUCCGCCCAAACCCUAAUUCAUUGUCCCUGAGUUUUGCUCGCAAUUUCAGGUCCUUCCCCUGCGAUCGUUCUCCCCAGAAUCCGAGAAAGAAAGGAAAAAAAAAAAAAAAAAACGAAACUACAUAUGAAGAAUCCGGAGUAUCGAGAUCCCUUCAGAAAGGAGGAAUGGAUUGGCCGCUCUUUCAGGUGUAGGGCUGAUUCACUGAACUCAGCACUGAUCUAAGCAGAAUCUCCACAAAUCAGUGAGUUCUUCAGUCUUGUCUUGCUUAUGUGACGCACCUGGAGAGGUAGAAGAUAGUAGCCAGGUAAACUCGUAGCCGGAAGGAAUCGAGAAAGCUGAUAGUCUGAGCAUUAUAGAAGAGAUUACUAGUUAGUGACUAUGGAGAGUAAAGAAGAGAAUGAAAUGCGACUGGCAGCAUUAUGCAAAAGUCUAGGGCAUCUGUGGUCGGAGGAAGAUGUAGUCGAAGUAUCUGAUGAAAUACCUCAACAGAAAAUGGAGGAAUGCAGGCGCACUCUAUUCGGAAAGCUAUUUUCCAAACCAAAUGUAAACUAUCCGGCAUUUAUAGCCACAAUGACUAAAGCAUGGAAGGUAGAAGGAGUCAUAUGCUCGCAGAAGGAACCGGGGCUAUUCACUUUCAUAUUCCCUACGGAGGAGGAAAAAUAGCGAAUAUUGAGGAACUCACCUUGGUCAUAUUCAACCAACUUGCUAGUGUUACAGCAGUGUCUUCCAGAAAUCCCAGAGCAUUAUUAUGAAUUCUCAAAGGCUGCCUUCUGGAUUCGCAUUGGAGGAGUCCCCCCUGGCUGGAGAAUAGAGAAAGUUUUCAAUGACCUGGGGAAAAGGUUGGGAAAGGUCAUUGAGUCACUCGACUCAUAAAUCAUGCUCAGAACAAGAGCAGAGUAGAGUCGAGAUCGACUUAACAUUACCGUUGAAAGCGGGAGCUGUUCUGGAUAUGGCAAUAAAUGCCUCUGGGUGGAGUUUAAAUACGAGCGUCUCCCACACUACUGCUUCUCAUGCGGAAGGAUCGGACACUAUGCCACCGACUGUCUCGAAUUUCCAUAUGCAACAUCACCCUGGGCAUUGAACAAAAAAGGGUCAUAUGGACCAUGGUUGAAGGCAGAAACCAGCGACCACAGCCCUUAUUGGGAUGCUUUCUACGGGAAAAUAGAGGAGCUUGUAGUGGAAGAUACUGUACCUGAUCCACCAACUGAACCGAGGGAGAGGAAUUACACUGAGCAAGAGUUGCCAACUGAUAUGCAACUUGUAGUCUGCAGCAAAAAGAGAUCAGAAAGCAGCUCAGAACAGAUAAUAAAUCCAGCAAAAGUUCCUAAUGCAGCAGAAGAUAGAGACCGUGGAAAACAGGUAAUGAGCCUUGAAACUCAAAAUCCACUAGUAUUAAAGAUUGGCAAAAGCAGCAAGAAGACAAUGAAAGUUCAAAAGGCAAAAAAACAGAAAUGCAUGCCAGAGAUAUCAUCCCUCAUCCCAGAUGAUGUAGACCUUCUGGAGAACCCGGUGAAUCUGAUACAGGAAGGACAAGAUUGGGCUUUGGUGGCUAGCCCUAAUAAGCCACCACAAAAGCCAUGAAAAUUGUGAGUUGGAAUUGUCAGGGGCUGGGUACCCCCCUGACAAUCCAGGAAUUAAGAGCUAUAAUUGCUCGUGAAAGGCCCAACAUAGUUUUUCUUAUGGAAACGAAAAAUAAAACAACCAGGGUGGAAAAGAUUUGUAAAAAGCUCCAGUUCCAGCAACUUUAUUUAGUGGAUCCGACAGGAAUAGCGGGGGGAUUGGCAAUUAUGUGGCAUGAGGAACUCAGUUUAAAGGUCCAACACAGCUCACAGCACUUCAUUGAUGUACAGUGCACAGAUCCUAAAAGUAAAAAGAUAAUGCAGAUUACCUUUAUCCACGCAUCUACUGACUUUGGAGAGAGGAUGGCGUUAUGGCAACAGUUGGGAACCCUUAAACCUUCAGGCUCCACUCCCUGGAUCUGCAUGGGAGAUUUCAAUGAGAUUCUAUACAUAUGGGAGAAAAUUGGGAAAAAGGAGGCAGACAAUCGAAGAAUUGCAGCUUUCAGAAAUAUGAUUAAUGAUUUAUCCCUGAUGGAUGUAGAAAGCCACGGAUGCGCUUUUACAUGGGCUAAUAACAGGGAGGGAGACGAGCUGGUAAAAAAGAGACUCGAUCGAGUACUAUGUAAUCUGGAAUGGAGGGUUACCUUUCAUGAAGCAGAAGUCCAAGCCCUCCCUGCUAUAGGAUCCGACCACAGUCCCCUCAUCCUUCGCCUGUAUCCUAUAGUAUACAAAAGGAAAAAACAGUUCAAAUUGGAAACCUUCUGGAUGGAUCAUGCAGAAUAUCAGGAAGUCAUUAAGCAAGUCUGGGAAGAUAUUACAACUCCACAGCAUCUAUUUACAGAAAAAUUAGGGAGGACAUCGAAAGAAUUAACGAAGUGGAGCAAAGAGAAGUUUGCAAAUGCUUAUUCUCAGAUCAAAGAACUUAACCAAGCUUUACAAGCCAUCACUAAUCAAAAAGUUCAACAUACAAGUAGACAGAAAGUGCAGCAUAUUAUCAGCCAAAUAGCAACAUUGAGAAGACAGGAAGAACAAUUCUGGGGAAUGAGGUCACGCAUUAAAUGGCUACAUUGGGGAGACCAAAAUACCAGUUUUUUCCAUGCCACGACAAUUCAAAGGAGACACCAAAAUCGUAUUACAAUGUUGCAAUUAGAGGAAAAUCGUUGGUGCAGAGAACCAGCAACGAUACAACAACACAUUAAAGCUUUCUAUAAAAACCUGUAUAGCUCUGAGGGUCUACGACACUACCAACCGAUCUUAGACCAAUGCCCAUCACCAAUUACAGAGAGGAUUAAUGCAGAUCUGGUGGCAAGACCUCUAUUGGAAGAAAUCAAGGAAGCAGUGUUCCAAUUGGGAGCUCUCAAGGCUCCAGGACCAGAUGGCUUCAAUGGAGCUUUCUAUCAAAAAUCAUGGGUAACUAUAAAAACUGACCUGCUGCAACUUGUACAGGAGUUUUUUAAGACAGGUGUGCUUGACCACAGGCUAAACCAGACCCAUAUUGUGUUGAUCCCGAAAGUAAAAGGCCCUGAAACAAUCAGUCAAUACAGACCCAUCAGUCUGUGUAACUUCAGCUACAAAGUCAUUUAAAAAAUAUUAGCAAACGGACUCAAAAAGUGGUUGUCACUUAUCAUUGAACCAGAGCAGGGAGCCUUCGUCUCGGGGCGGCAAAUACAGGACAACAUCUUCAUUAUUCAGGAAGUUCUGCAUCAGCUGCGAAUAACCAAAAAGAAGACAAAACAUCAGGCUAUUGUAAAGCUUGAUAUGCAGAAAGCAUAUGAUCGCAUAGAAUGGGAUUUCGUGAGGGAUCUAAUGCUGCACAUGGGGUUCGAUGCAAAAUGGGUCUCCUUAAUUAUGCAAUGCAUAACAACAGUUACUUUCAGCUUAAAGAUCAAUGGUGAACCUACCUCUUUCUUCCACCCAUCGAGGGGCCUCAGACAAGGCGAUCCCCUCUCACCCUAUAUCUUCAUCAUGAUAUCCAAUGUCUUAACCUGGAUGUUGAAGAAAGCAUUAGCAGAAGGUACACUAAAAGGAAUACAGGUAAAUAAACAUUGCCCUCAGCUAUCACACUUGAUGUUUGCCGAUGAUGUUAUAUGUUUUCUAGAUGGGACCAUUAUAGAAUGCCAAAACCUUGCCCUAAUAUUAACCCAAUACUGCUAUGCAACGGGACAAACAAUAAAUUUGAAUAAAUCAGGGGUUUAUUUUAGUGGACAUUGCCCAGAAGUUUUGAAACACAAUCUGGCCACACAAUUGAGAGUCCCUAUUCUAAAGAAAACAGGAGAAUACUUGGGCAUACCUACUGAGUGGGGACAAUCCAAAAAAGCGAUGUUUUCGUGGAUCCUGGCCAGAGUAAACUCCAAGUUAGCUGGAUGGAAAGAAAAAAUGCUUACAAAGGCUGGUAAGGAAGUGCUAAUAAAGAGUGUGGUGCAAUCCCUACCUACCUAUGCCAUGUCCAUAUUCAAGCUGCUUGUUUCGAUUUGCCGAGCUAUAGAACAAUGGAUUGCGUCUUUUUAGUGGCAGAAUGGUGAUGCUAAAAGAGGCCUGCAUUGGAAAAGAUGGGAAAUGUUAAAAACUCGAAAAGAUGCAGGCGGCAUGGGCUUUAAGGAUUUGAUUACCUUCAAUCGAGCCAUGCUAGGUAAACAGGCCUGGCGUCUAGUUUCCUUUCCUUCAGCUCUAUGGAGUAGAAUGCUGAAAGGGAUUUAUUUCCCUCAUGGAGAUCUAUGGAAUGCGUCCAAGGGAAAUCGACCAUCAUGGGGCUGGCGCAGCUUAAUGCUUGGCAGAGACACCAUAAAAAGCAAUAUCAAAUGGUCAGUAGGGGAUGGGAAAUCAAUUCGCAUAAGAGAAGACAUGUGGCUAUUACAAGGUAUAAUAGGUGGGACAACAAACCACACAGAGCCUAAAUUUGUGUCUGAACUGAUCAAUUCAGAAUCCAGUGAAUGGAAACAACAACUGAUCUACCAUCAUUAUGAAGAAAAAAUUGCAAACGAAAUUGUAGCAAUUCCCCUACAUCAGCAACCAAAGCAAGACACGCUUAUAUGGACAGGCAAUGGUUCUGGACAAUAUUCUGUCAAGAGCGGAUAUAAUGAAGCAAGAAAAUCCACUAGCAACACAGAUAUGAACUGGCCUUCAUGUUCUUUUCAACCGCCACGUACCUUGUGGACACAAAUUUGGAGUCUUGAUGUGCCUCCAAAGGUUCGUUUCUUCAUCUGGAGUCUCUGCCAAAAUGCCCUCCCGACGAAGGAAAAUCUAUACAGAAGAAAAAUUGUAAGUGACCCACGAUGCCCGGUAUGCUGUUCGAGUAUGGAAACUACAGAGCAUUUGUUGUUUCUUUGCAAGGGGACAAAGCAAGUAUGGCAAGACCUGAUUUUUGAGCAGAUCAGGCCAAAUAACAGUAUCAAUCGCACGGAUCAGUGGAUUUUAAAAGCAUUCCGAAGAGAUCAAAACUCAGCCGAUCGUGAACUCAUUAGCCUGAUCCUGUGGAACAUCUGGAAGGCCAGAAACAACCGGAUCUUUCGUGCAAAGGAACCCCAACCAGCAGAUCUGUUGAUAAUAGCAAAGGAACAACAGUACACGCUAAGUACGGGUAGAUCGAAAAAAAGCGAGCGAUCUCUCAACCAAAACUCACCCGUUCACUGGAGGCCUCCGGAAGGGCAAAAUCUGAAGCUGAACGUAGAUGCAUCGUGGAGACCCGGCGAUUUCCUCUGCUCUGUCGCCGGUAUCGUAUGAGACGCAACUGGAAGGGUUCUUGACGGCUUCGCGGCCACAGCUAGGGUUUCCUCGGCAGGUGAAGCGGAAACUCAAGCACUUUCACACGGGAUAUCGUUUAUGCACGAACUCAAGACGAAUCAUGUGCGGGACUUUGGAAGCCGAACUGGAAGAUAAUUCAUAGAAAGUGAUUGUUAUGCGGCGGUAGAAAUGGUCAUGGGCCGGGCCGCAUCUACAUGGGACCUUAAAGAAAUCGUCCACAGGUGUAUGCAUGGGCUUCAGCAGAACAACAACUUCACGGUGAUUUAUACCCCACGACAAACUAACGCAGCGGCGGAUUGGAUUGCUCGACACCAUCGACAAAACACCCUACCACGUAAUUGGGUGUCUUCCCCCCCUCUUCCCCUAUGGAAUAUAUUAUGCGCAGAUCUUUCCCCAUCUGUGGGUUGUAAGACUUUUCUUUAAUCAAGUAAUAGUCACUUCUAUUUUGACCAAAAAAAAAAAAAUNNNNNNNNNNNNNNNNNNNNNNNNNNNNNNNNNNNNNNNNNNNNNNNNNNNNNNNNNNNNNNNNNNNNNNNNNNNNNNNNNNNNNNNNNNNNNNNNNNNNUGAAGCAUAAUCCCGAUGUCCCAUGACAGUGAUGACUUCAUGUGCGAUCGAUAUCAUUGCUCGCAUGCUAUGAAUCUCAUCCUACUGAUGCCAUGUGUGUAUAGUUUGUACACAUCUUAUUCUUGAUUGGUAAAUUGCACCACAUGUCACUAUGUGAUAGAUCCAUCGCGUGAAAAUACCUUCUUGAUUCAAAAUUACGGUACUUUUUAUUUUCUUUUAUUUUUGAAGAGUUGGGAACAUGGCCAUUUAUCCAAAGCUGAACACCCUAAAGUCGCAUAUACAUUCUUAUCGUUAUCUUUUGGUAUAUUAAGCAUUAAGUUAAGAAAGAAAUACAAUCUCUAACUUUUUUUUUCUUUUUUCCAAAUAGGUAAUCUCCACUUCUCAAGUGGCUCCACUUUGAUUUCUCUAAUCAGAACCCGAAUUGUAUCGUGCCUACCCAAGAGAUAACUUUAACUCCUAUUAAAUAACUCUAUGCAACUUGUAUUUACUAAUUAAAAACAAGACUGAGGUCGUAUAUGCAUUGGCUCAACCAUCAUCCAAAAGACAAGUCAAGAAUAAUUCGAGUCAAUAAGCGCUCGAUUGCCCAAAACAUCACCAGCCUCGCACCCUAUUCCGCCAAUCCCAGCCGCUCGAUGCAAAGACUCAUGGGGGGCCCACCCGCGUGAUGGACGAUUGAGAUCAUUUGAGGCUCGUGUUCCGUCGCCCCAACCGAACGAUUGUCGAAGGGACAUUUGAGGAAACUUCAACCAAAACUCCAUGUGGCCUGUACCUUUCCUCUCCCAGCCACCAAACAAGCACAUUUUGCAGAAAGAGAGAAGCUCACAUAGAAGAACAUAACACAUUUACACACAGACCACGGACAUGUUCAGCAAUCUUGGGACCCGAGAUGAAGUGAUCAAGGCAGCGUUGUCUGCAUCCAUCGAAGCUCGUGACGAUCGACAGGAGCUGAACAUUCGCAACAGCUCUUCGGAGGUCAUCGUGGCCUUCCCCGGAUCAUGGUCUCCCGAGGACUGGUUCCCUAAAGACAGCAAAGCCGAGCCCUUCGGAGAUGACCAGAUCGACCGCAAGAAGUUCCCUUCUCUCAGGAGCAUCGGCAAGGAUGAGGACGCCAGGGUCAACAAGGCGUUCAUGGAGAGAUUCCUACGUAUUCUGGAUGAUGGAAGCAGAAGGCUCCGCUCCGAGGUAUUCUCGAAUCUCGAAUGAUGCUUUGUUUUAGCCGUUGUUUCAAUGCGUCGAAGAGUCGGUAGUAAUAAUUCUCGGAUAGCAAUUUUAAGGCCAUUUCUAGAGUUCACAAAGUUUGAUUUGAAAAUCAGGAAACUCGAGUAGUGCCUACUUUUGCCUUCCGUAGAAACUGUCGACGGAACACUGUAGAUCAGAAACUAGAGCUUGCACUAGUAAUUUAGUCAUUACCACACAUCCUCUACCAUUGAAACUCUCAGCCUGUUCUGUACUUUCCCUCAAGUCAUAGCAUGUGACGAAAAUUUAGGUACAUAGAUCACAUGACAAGCACGAUCUGGUGUGCUUCAGUUUGCAAUUUACCGUGCGGAGUCAUCAACUUUUUACCUUGCGAAGGUAAAUCCCCGCGUUGUGCAGACCACUUUGUAAAUGUUGUCUCCAAUAAUUGGAAUUUGAAGAACACUCUCUCCAAUUCCAUUGGACAAUAACAAUGACAUAGAUGGUCUAGUUUAAGUCUCUCUCAACCUACCAUUAACAGUAACAGGACGUUCAUCAUUGACCGAGCAUCAUUGAAGCAGGUAAAUAAACAGUCAGAAAUGAACCUGAACUUGUCUUUGAUUUUCAGGUGAAAAAGGCGUUGGACGAUAAUAAGCAGAUAAUAUUUACAGGCCAUUCAUCGGGCGGUCCAAUCGCGAUUUACGCGACUGUUUGGUUCCUUGAGGAGCACAAAAAAUCAAAGAAAGAGGAGACUCCCCAUGCUUUCUGUUUAACAUUCGGGUCCCCAAUUACCACCGACCGCACCUUUGGCCACGCCAUCCGGCGUGAGCGUUGGUCUGACCACUUUGUCCACUUUGUUACGAAACUCGACAUUGUUCCCAGGAUUCUACUCGCUCCUUCCUCCUCUACGAAGGAGUUGCUAAAAGAAAUCUCCUCUUUCUCUGACCCGCGUCACAAACCCACUACAAUUGACAACUUGACUUCCUUUUUUGUGAAAGUGGUGAAGAAUGCAUCAUGUGUUGCAAACUAUGCAGCUUGCCAACUGACGGGAAGCAAACAUACCCUAUUUGACACUAUGUCUAAUUUCAUCAAGCCAAGCCCUUACCGACCGUGUGGGAAUUAUGUCUUUUGCACCGAGAUUGGUAGGUCGGUGGUCGUAAAGAACCCGGAUGCGGUCCUUCAACUGUUGUUUUGCGCUUUACAGAUCGAGUCCGAAAGAGAGCUUCUGAAUAUAGCACAGAAAAGCUUAAGGGCACAUUGGACAUAUAAAGAAGCAGUAGACCAAAGCCUGGCCCCGGCCAAUGUUGUUUAUUUGAAGAACCUCCAAGAAUUGCCUCUUAGCUCAAAUGAUGCCGCAUUAAAUGACCUUAACCUGGUAUAGUCAAUAUUUUAUUUGGUCCAAGGAUUUUAUGUGAAAAAUGAAUUGUCUAGUUCCCUAAUAAUCAUUUAAAUUAUUGUGUUUAUUUGAAGAACCUCCAAGAAUUGCCUCUUAACACAGAUGAUGCCGCAUUAAAUGAACUUAACCUGAUAUGGUUGAUAUUUUGUCUAGUCCAAGAAUUCUAUGUGAAAAAUGAAUUGUCUAGUUCCCUAAUAAUCUUUUAAAUUAUUGUGUUUCUUUGAAGAACCUCUGAGAAUUGCCUCUCAGCUCAGAUUAUGCCGCAUUAAAUGAUCUUAACCUGGUGUGGUCGAUAUUUUAUCUGGUCCAAGGAUUUUAUGUGAAAAAUGAACUGUCUAGUUCCCUAAUAAUCUUUUUAAAUUAUUGAGAAAAGGUGAUUGAAUAUUUGACAAUAUAUGAUAUUGUGAUCAUAGGACGCAAAGGUGAGGCUGUGCCUUCGUGCCGCUGGAGAGUUGGAGAAGAGGAAACAGGAUAACCAGAAAAAAAUCCAAGCCAAGAUGGUCGACAUAGAGAAAAACCUCGACGCAUUAAAAAAGUACCGGACCACGAGCGAGGACGACGGUGUGGGAUAUUACGAUGCUUUCAAAUUGCAAAAGAAGGAGGAAGACUUCAAGGCCAACGUAAAGAGACUUGAACUGGCAGCUAUUUGGGACGAGAUUGUUG